GGAGAGGUGGCCGAGUGGUCGAAGGCGCUUGCCUGCUAAGCAAGUGUGGAGGUAUUCCUCCACCGAGGGUUCGAAUCCCUCCCUCUCCG
This 89-nucleotide transfer RNA is filed under the name Pseudothermotoga hypogea DSM 11164 = NBRC 106472. It matches the Rfam family "tRNA". From Rfam's summary of the family: Transfer RNA (tRNA) molecules are approximately 80 nucleotides in length. Their secondary structure includes four short double-helical elements and three loops (D, anti-codon, and T loops). Further hydrogen bonds mediate the characteristic L-shaped molecular structure. tRNAs have two regions of fundamental functional importance: the anti-codon, which is responsible for specific mRNA codon recognition, and the 3' end, to which the tRNAs corresponding amino acid is attached (by aminoacyl-tRNA synthetases). tRNAs cope with the degeneracy of the genetic code in two manners: having more than one tRNA (with a specific anti-codon) for a particular amino acid; and 'wobble' base-pairing, i.e. permitting non-standard base-pairing at the 3rd anti-codon position. Lineage: Bacteria; Thermotogati; Thermotogota; Thermotogae; Thermotogales; Thermotogaceae. The record is from Rfam by way of RNAcentral.